This 253-nucleotide ribosomal RNA is filed under the name uncultured bacterium. Its description in RNAcentral is "partial 16S ribosomal RNA". It matches the Rfam family "Bacterial small subunit ribosomal RNA", at positions 524 to 776 of the family's 1533-position model. The record is from RNAcentral.
UACAGAGGUCCCAAGCGUUGUUCGGAUUCACUGGGCGUAAAGGGUGCGUAGGUGGUUGGGUAAGUCUGAUGUGAAAUCUCCGGGCUCAACCCGGAAAUGGCAUUGGAUACUAUCCAGCUGGAGGGUCGGAGGGGGGACUGGAAUUCUUGGUGUAGCAGUGAAAUGCGUAGAUAUCAGGAGGAACACCAGUGGCGAAGGCGAGUCCCUGGACGACUCCUGACACUGAGGCACGAAAGCUAGGGGAGCGAACGGG